CCUACGGGAGGCAGCAGUGGGGAAUCUUGCGCAAUGGGGGAAACCCUGACGCAGCGACGCCGCGUGGAGGAUGAAGGCCUUCGGGUUGUAAACUCCUGUCAGAGGGGACGAAAUCCCGCAAGGGACUGACGGUACCCUCAGAGGAAGCCCCGGCUAACUACGUGCCAGCAGCCGCGGUAAUACGUAGGGGGCAAGCGUUACUCGGAAUUACUGGGCGUAAAGGGUGAGUAGGCGGCUGGGCAAGUCAAGGAUGAAAUCCCGAGGCUCAACUUCGGAACUGUCCUUGAAACUGCUCAGCUUGAGGGUAGUUGAGGAGAGCGGAAUUCCCGGUGGAGCGGUGAAAUGCGUAGAUAUCGGGAGGAACACCAGAGGCGAAAGGCGGCUCUCUAAGCUACUCCUGACGCUGAAUCACGAAAGCUAGGGGAGCAAACG
This 432-nucleotide ribosomal RNA is filed under the name uncultured Aminicenantes bacterium. Its description in RNAcentral is "bacterial SSU rRNA". It matches the Rfam family "Bacterial small subunit ribosomal RNA", at positions 338 to 774 of the family's 1533-position model. The record is from RNAcentral. Lineage: Bacteria; Candidatus Aminicenantota.